RNAcentral lists this long non-coding RNA (754 nucleotides) under Gallus gallus (chicken). Lineage: Eukaryota; Metazoa; Chordata; Aves; Galliformes; Phasianidae. The record is from RNAcentral.
CUGCUUUGUAGAUUCCAGUGUCCAGCAACUUGUUAAUGCCAAACUUCUUUACAUUCUGUUUGGUCGCGUAUUUCACACGGGACAGGAUAAAAUGAACAAUUCGGCUUCUUGUUGCUGGAUUGAAAAAUGUGUCUUUGUCUUGAAUAUAAAAGUUGGAUAAAUGUUCCCUUUUAAAAGGAGCAGUGAAAAACUCUUGCUCGGGUUUGAUGAUAUUUUCAUCCACCCUGAAGAGUCUAGUAAACCUGUUGAAAGCUGACUCCCGAGUUUUCAGAUCAUUGGGCUGCAGAGGCAAUUUGAUGUGCAUGACCUCAGCAUAGGUGCACAGCACUUCCCAAGGUGCAUGCACUUUCACAAAAACAGUUUUUUCAUCCAAAACCGAUCGUGUUGCUUCAAGUUGCAGGCCAUUGUUUAUCAGGUUCGAUUCAUACACUUGUCUCUUCCUCUUUUGUUUUUUAUGAUUACUCCUCUUAUGACUCAUUUUUGUUUCAUCUUCAUACACCAAAACAAAGUCAAUUCUUCGCUGCCCAUCGUUGAAGAACAAGGAGUCAGGCUUAUUAUCAAAAUCAGCCCAUUCUGGAGUAUGGAGAUUUUGCUGAUCUGACACAGUUCCAUAAGUGGGAAUAAUCACUUGGUUCAAUUCCAAGACGCUCUCCCCAUCCUCCUCGUCCACCUCUUCGUCCCCCUCCUCUUCCUCCUCUUCCAGGUCCAGCAGCACGUCGGGGUUCUCCGCCUGCAUCGCGCCGUUCCCCCUCCC